RNAcentral lists this ribosomal RNA (431 nucleotides) under uncultured bacterium. RNAcentral describes it as "partial 16S ribosomal RNA". It matches the Rfam family "Bacterial small subunit ribosomal RNA", at positions 29 to 505 of the family's 1533-position model. The record is from RNAcentral.
AGCGAACGCUGGCGGCAUGCCUAACACAUGCAAGUCGAACGAUCCCUUCGGGGAUAGUGGCGCACGGGUGCGUAACGCGUGGGAACCUGCCCUUAGGUUCGGAAUAACUCAGAGAAAUUUGAGCUAAUACCGGAUAAUGUCUUCGGACCAAAGAUUUAUCGCCUUUGGAUGGGCCCGCGUUGGAUUAGCUAGUUGGUGGGGUAAAGGCCUACCAAGGCGACGAUCCAUAGCUGGUCUGAGAGGAUGAUCAGCCACACUGGGACUGAGACACGGCCCAGACUCCUACGGGAGGCAGCAGUGGGGAAUAUUGGACAAUGGGCGAAAGCCUGAUCCAGCAAUGCCGCGUGAGUGAUGAAGGCCUGAGGGUUGUAAAGCUCUUUUACCCGGGAUGAUAAUGACAGUACCGGGAGAAUAAGCCCCGGCUAACUCCG